Molecule: ribosomal RNA, 446 nt
Filed under: uncultured bacterium
Lineage: Bacteria
Description: partial 16S ribosomal RNA
Rfam family: Bacterial small subunit ribosomal RNA
Source: RNAcentral
CCUACGGGAGGCAGCAGUCGAGAAUCAUUCACAAUGGGGGAAACCCUGAUGGUGCGACGCCGCGUGGGGGAAUGAAGGUCUUCGGAUUGUAAACCCCUGUCAUGUGGGAGCAAAUUAAAAAGAUAGUACCACAAGAGGAAGAGACGGCUAACUCUGUGCCAGCAGCCGCGGUAAUACAGAGGGCUCAAGCGUUGUUCGUAAUCACUGGGCGUAAGGCGUGCGUAGGCUGUUUCGUAAGUCGUGUGUGAAAGGCGCGGGCUCAACCCGCGGACGGCACAUGAUACUGCGAGACUAGAGUAAUGGAGGGGGAACCGGAAUUCUCGGUGUAGCAGUGAAAUGCGUAGAUAUCGAGAGGAACACUCGUGGCGAAGGCGGGUUCCUGGACAUUAACUGACGCUGAGGCACGAAGGCCAGGGGAGCGAAAGGGAUUAGAUACCCUUGUAGUC